CUCUCAACCCCAAAGUCACUUGGUGGUAUGGGUUUCCGGGAUAUAUCGCUGUUUAAUCAAGCGAUGCUCGGUAAGCAGGGCUGGAGACUUGUAACUGAACCUGAUUCUUUAUGUGCCCGUGUCUUGAAAGGAAGGUAUUUUCUGACUGGGAACUUUUGGAGUGCCUCAGCACCUCGGACUGCAUCGGCGACUUGGCGUGCUCUCCUUCAUGGC
RNAcentral lists this ribosomal RNA (213 nucleotides) under Triticum aestivum (bread wheat). Its description in RNAcentral is "partial small subunit ribosomal RNA". The record is from RNAcentral. Lineage: Eukaryota; Viridiplantae; Streptophyta; Magnoliopsida; Poales; Poaceae.